AACGCACAUUGCACUCUGUUUGCGCAGAGUAUGCCUGUUUGAGAAUCUAUAGUAUUCUUUUUCUCUAUAAAGUUUUUAAUUUUAUAUGGGAAAGUUUUGCGGAUUUUGGGUUAUUAAAAAUACCCAAUUCUGUUAAAUCUAUAGUCAUUUUUUUUAUAGUAAAUGUUUGAACUCUCUAUAAAAACUUUGCAGAAAUGUAUUUGAAUGAACCUACCAGUUCUCCUUAUACAAAUUACGCAGAGAGAGAUUAGUUUUCUAUAGAAAAUAAUGCCCAUAACCAUUAAAAAAGUUAAUUGUAAGAUUGACUUUUUGAACCAUGGUCUCAAAUCAGGUAGGAUUACCCGCUGAACUUAA
Molecule: unclassified non-coding RNA, 354 nt
Filed under: uncultured Operculomyces
Lineage: Eukaryota; Fungi; Chytridiomycota; Chytridiomycetes; Rhizophydiales
Description: sequence contains ITS2
Source: RNAcentral